This 245-nucleotide unclassified non-coding RNA is filed under the name Hevea brasiliensis (rubber tree). Lineage: Eukaryota; Viridiplantae; Streptophyta; Magnoliopsida; Malpighiales; Euphorbiaceae. The record is from RNAcentral.
AUGUUGAGGCGGUGGAACUGGAUCCGGUCAACCCAGGGAAGUGAGUCCGGUUCGAGAAGGUGCUUGAUCUUGUCGUUGUAGACAUCAAGAGCAAGGAUCUUAUGCGGCGUCUCUAACAACAACUUCUCGCAGAGGUGAGAGCCUAUGAAACCUCCGGCACCGAUCAUGCAUAUUGUGAUCGGCUUUAUCGGCCUCCCGUCCAGAUCCACCCUAUUUGCCGUCGCCAUUGUCUCAAACAAUCACCA